Paramuricea clavata is the source of this 857-nucleotide non-coding RNA. NCBI's taxonomy places the organism in Eukaryota, Metazoa, Cnidaria, Anthozoa, Malacalcyonacea, Plexauridae. The record is from the annotation of a GenBank genome assembly.
GCGAUUUCUAGCGAUGAUUUCAAAUAUCCACGGAGUAACCUGUCAAUAAAUUGCUCGUCUUUUGUUGCACUUUUGCAAGUCUAAAGUCGGUUACAGACGAGCAAGUUUUCUAUGACAAGUUUUUAUGUGACAAGUUUUAUUUGCUCGUCUGUACGCGCAACUUUAACAAUUUUUGAACAAGUGCACUUGUCAUGCAUAGAAGAAAUUGUCAAAGUACAAAUUUUGUUCGUCUGUAUGGGUCAACAAAGAAAACUUGUCAAAGUAAUCUGAGCAUUUGAUGUGAUUGGCCAGCAGACUAUCAUAAUCUUUCUGCCAUGGCGGCGAUAAAGACCUUUUUCUGACACGUUCACACCAGUAAAUAAAACUUGCCAUGUGAAAACUUGUCAUAUAAAAUUUGUUGCAUAUACAUACGUGCACUUGGCAAAUAAAACUUGUCACAUAAAAACUUGUCAUAGAAAUGUAACCGACUUAAGCCUUCGACAGUUGGAUUUUCAAUGUUCUCAACAUUAAAAAAAUAGAGUACGACAUGAUUUCCUGUACUUUGGUAUAGAUACAAUGUAAAGCAAGGGCGUUGUGAUGUAAAACAUUGGAAAGAAAUAGGCUUGAAACAAAUCGACAUUUGGGUGUUCAAAUUCCGUGACACAAAACUCACACCAAAUGUUUACAGAUUUUAUACCAGAUAUCAACACUUGCGGUAGGAUAAAAAACACCAGGUUAAGAAGAAGCAGCAAAAUAACUUUUGAGAAUCUUCUUUCGUUUUCCAGUCUUUUCCUUUCUGCUCUAUGUUCCAGAUUUUUUGAUGCGUCAGUUCCAUUUAGUCGAUUGCCAAGUGAUUGUAUGUCAUGGCUUACAUGGAG